CAGAUGGGUGACCAUGCAUGGCAAAAGGAGCAGGGUCGCGCUGCAGGUCCCGGGAGGUUUUGCUCCACCGCCCCGGGCUGCACCCACACCCCCCGCCCCACAGCUGUGACCCCCUAACUGGUGACCACCAGAGCAUCCACCCCCCCCACCACCCUGGAGAAAAGUUUGACAUCAGUGAGCAAUGCAGGAGAAGGUUUAGGAUCUGCUCAGCUCAUCUCCAGCACCAUCAGAAAAUCCACUGGGGUGAGAGACCCCAGAGCUGUCCUGACUGCAGGAGACGGUUUAGCGACAGCUCGGAUCUGGUCCAGCGGUGACACCAUCACACAGGCACCAUGUCCUACACCUGCCCUGACUGCGGGAACGGUUUUAGCAGGAGAUGGAAUUUUAUCCAGCAUCAGCG
Calypte anna (Anna's hummingbird) is the source of this 400-nucleotide long non-coding RNA. RefSeq lists it as uncharacterized. The transcript has 3 exons. Lineage: Eukaryota; Metazoa; Chordata; Aves; Apodiformes; Trochilidae. The record is from RefSeq and is a predicted model, not a curated record.